CUGGCGGCUCAUCAAUAUUAGACACCUGCAGGAACAGCAGGUCAGCCAAGCCAAAGAGUAAGAGUGGCCCUGUCUGUGACUAGACGCUUCUUCAGGGUUGCCUCAACACCGGAGUGGCGCUGGUGGUCUCCACCCACUCCCAGUGUACGCUGGCGUCUAGGAAGCCAUGUGUGUGAUCGGCCCUGAAUUAGGGGCAAAACUUUUAGUUCUCAGAUGAACUGUCGUGGGUUUAUUCAGUGAUAACUAGACAGCCAGGCCAACAUGGAGUUGAUUCAUCCAUGCAAAACCUCCCAGACAAGGCCUUUCAGUGGAGAACUGGAAUUCAGGGUCUUCUCAGCUUUGGCCAGAAGCCAAAGGUAGGAGAGGUAGGAGAGACCCAGGUCCUGGUCCCAGCUGUGUCCCAUCCAGAGUGACCUUGGGAAGGUUGCCAACUUCCUUUUUCGAAUAACUGGGAGAUGAAACAGGAAGCUCUAUGACACACUUGAUCGAAUAUGACAGACACCGAAAAUCACGACUCAGCCCCCUCCAGCACCUCUACCUGUUGCCCGCCGAUCACAGCCGGAAUGCAGCUGAAAGAUUCCCUGGGGCCUGGUUCCAACCGCCCACUGUGGACUCUGAGGCCUCUGCAUUUGCGGGUGGUCUGCCUGUGAUAUUUUGGUCAUGGGCUGGUCUGGUCGGUUUCCCAUUUGUCUGGCCAGUCUCUAUGUGUCUUAAUCCCUUGUCCUUCAUUAAAAGCAAAACUAAAGAAAA
Molecule: long non-coding RNA, 750 nt
Organism: Homo sapiens (human)
Lineage: Eukaryota; Metazoa; Chordata; Mammalia; Primates; Hominidae
Gene: CYTOR
Product: cytoskeleton regulator RNA
Source: Ensembl